UUCCGGUUGAUCCCGCCGGAGGUCACUGCUAUCGGGGUUCGAUUAAGCCAUGCGAGUCGAGAGGGUUCAGACCCUCGGCGGACUGCUCAGUAACACGUGGAUAAUCUGCCCUAUGGUGGAGGAUAACCCCGGGAAACUGGGGAUAAUACUCCAUAAGUCAGGAGUAUUGGAAUGUCUCCUAACUGAAAGUUUCGGCGCCAUAGGAUGAAUCUGCGGCCGAUUAGGUAGUUGUUGGGGUAACGGCCCAACAAGCCCGUAAUCGGUACGGGUUGUGGGAGCAAAAGCCCGGAGAUGGAAUCUGAGACACGAUUCCAGGCCCUACGGGGCGCAGCAGGCGCGAAAACUUUACAAUGCAGGAAACUGUGAUAAGGGAACCCCGAGUGCCCGUACACGCGGGCUGUCCCGGUGUUUAAAACACAUCGGAAGAAAGGGCCGGGCAAGACCGGUGCCAGCCGCCGCGGUAAUACCGGCGGCUCGAGUGGUGACCACUUUUAUUGGGCUUAAAGCGUUCGUAGCUUGAUUUUUAAGUCUCUUGGGAAAUCUCACGGCUUAACUGUGAGGCGUCUAAGAGAUACUGGGAAUCUAGGGACCGGGAGAGGUAAGAGGUACUUCAGGGGUAGAAGUGAAAUUCUGUAAUCCUUGAGGGACCACCGAUGGCGAAGGCAUCUUACCAGAACGGCUUCGACAGUGAGGAACGAAAGCUGGGGGAGCGAACGGGAUUAGGUACCCCGGUAGUCCCAGCCGUAAACUAUGCGCGUUAGGUGUGCCUGUAACUACGAGUUACCGGGGUGCCGAAGUGAAAACGUGAAACGUGCCGCCUGGGAAGUACGGUUGCAAGGCUGAAACUUAAAGGAAUUGGCGGGGGAGCACCACAACGGGUGGAGCCUGCGGUUUAAUUGGAUUCAACGCCGGG
Molecule: ribosomal RNA, 913 nt
Filed under: uncultured compost archaeon
Lineage: Archaea
Description: bacterial SSU rRNA
Rfam family: Archaeal small subunit ribosomal RNA
Source: RNAcentral